Molecule: ribosomal RNA, 483 nt
Filed under: uncultured bacterium
Lineage: Bacteria
Description: partial 16S ribosomal RNA
Rfam family: Bacterial small subunit ribosomal RNA
Source: RNAcentral
AUUGAACGCUGGCGGCAUGCUUUACACAUGCAAGUCGAACGGCAGCGCGGGCUUCGGCCUGGCGGCGAGUGGCGAACGGGUGAGUAAUGCAUCGGAACGUGCCCAGUAGUGGGGGAUAGCCCGGCGAAAGCCGGAUUAAUACCGCAUACGACCUGAGGGUGAAAGCGGGGGACCGAAAGGCCUCGCGCUAUUGGAGCGGCCGAUGUCGGAUUAGCUAGUUGGUGGGGUAAAGGCUUACCAAGGCGACGAUCCGUAGCUGGUCUGAGAGGACGACCAGCCACACUGGGCCUGAGACACGGCCCAGACUCCUACGGGAGGCGGCAGUGGGGAAUUUUGGACAAUGGGGGCAACCCUGAUCCAGCCAUGCCGCGUGCGGGAAGAAGGCCUUCGGGUUGUAAACCGCUUUUGUUCGGGAAGAAAUCCUCUGGGCUAAUACCCCGGGGGAUGACGGUACCGGAAGAAUAAGCACCGGCUAACUACGUG